GUGAAGCCAUUAAUACUGAUCGCUACCGACAACAAAUAAUCAAUUUGAACCAGCUUUGAUAGUAAAACCACCAGAAUGGGCCAGAAGACAUGGCAAAGUAAUUUUGCUUCAUGAUAACGUACCAUCACACACUUCAAAACCAGUUAAAGGCACGUUAAAAGAUCUUGCCUGGGAAGUCUUAACCCACCCACUGUAUUCACCAGACCUUGCUCCUUCAGAUUACCACUUGUUCCGAUUGAUGGCACAAUCACUUUCUGAGCAGCACUUCAAAACAAGUGGAAAAUUGGGUCUCUGAAUGGUUUGCCUCAAAUCAAGAAAAGUUCUAUUGGAACAGUAUCCAUAAAUUACCUGAGAGAUGGGGAAAUGUGUAGCUAGCGAUGGACAUUACUUUGAAUAAAGCACUUUUGAUGUU
Molecule: long non-coding RNA, 412 nt
Organism: Myotis daubentonii (Daubenton's bat)
Lineage: Eukaryota; Metazoa; Chordata; Mammalia; Chiroptera; Vespertilionidae
Source: RefSeq, a predicted model, not a curated record